AGAAAACAUGUCUGGAUUCCCAAGGAUUGUAACAAAUACAACAUAAUAUUGCUUGAAAUCACACUGAAGUAGCCAAGAACAGACAAGUGAUGAACCCUAAAUGCAAGUCGCCAUGGCCCUAGACCCUUGAAGACCUUAGAGAAGGUAGGCAUGGCAUGAUAGAAGCCAUUUGAGGCUAAGGAGACGAUAAGAGGUCAUCGAAGAUCACUGGAGAAUAGAGGUCGGUGGUUGAAGGGCUAGGGUUUGGUUGAGAGUUACUGAGAGGGGAGAGGAUCUUAG
Molecule: long non-coding RNA, 279 nt
Filed under: Nicotiana benthamiana
Lineage: Eukaryota; Viridiplantae; Streptophyta; Magnoliopsida; Solanales; Solanaceae
Description: long non-coding RNA (NBEN_LNC035491)
Source: RNAcentral